CUAUAAGUGAGAAUGAGAUGAAGUAGGAUUUUUUUUCACCAACCAAAAUAGGAGCUUUUGAAAAGGUAAGCGUUUAGGUGAGAGUACAAUGAAAUGCGCCUUCUCACAUCACACGUGCUGGGAACGCAACUCAAAACUUUUUCCAUUCGGGAAAGCAAAUUGCCAAACCAUCAAAGGCCCCAAAUUGAUCCAGAAAUGUUCAUUUUUGGGAAUGUCUCUAGGAAACAGUCCUAAAUUUAAAAAGAAAGAAAGAGGAAGAAAAAAGCUUUACGUACAGAGCUUUCCACCACGAGGUAUAUUGUAUGUAUGAGGCUCUGUGGACACGUCAUACAGUAAACACUCGCAUGCCUUUCUCUUGGGAGGUGCCUGAACCAAGCAGCCUGAGUCCACUUAGCUGUGUGCCCUAGUGGAAAAGCCGGGGACAGCCCAGUGUCCAGUGCUCUGGCAGUAGUCAGCAAGUCGGUGACUCACCCACGCACGCGGUGGGCACCGUGACUCAUAGUUGCUCUGCCGUCCCUGACAACUCACCAUUUCGGGAUGUUUCCUUGGAACAGCCUGGAGCACGAGGCAGCUGUUCAAAAUGAGCUGCAGAGCGUGUAGGACCCUGGAGAAAUGGUUACGAUCCAGGUUACUGGACUGCUGGGGGACAGGAGUCCUUGGGCACCGACCCUGCAGCGUCUGUCAACGCGCAGUGUGGGGGCAGCAAGGUGCCUUUCCUCACGUGCUGGAGUGUUACCUGAAUGCUGCCUGGGACUGCCUGGCCGAGGCCGCCCCUGUGAUGUGGAGAGGUUGGAGCUGCUGGUGCCUGUGCUGCAGUCAAACGGUUCAUUUCGGGGCCCCAAAGCCAAAGCUCCGGGAAGCUCUGCGGGUUCCUCCUGAGUUCUCCUGCCCCCAGAACCUCUCCUCCUCCAGCACCCCCUUCUCUCCAUUUCCAUCCACGUGGGGUUUAUCUCUGAGCGGACUCUCUAAGCGGGUGGGGUCGGCACUCUCUCCUCCUGUAAUUUUGCUGCGUGCUGCUUAGUUUUGUUGUCUGUAUUUGGAGCUGGGAUUUUGGAUUUAUUUUUGGUGUCUUCUCGACUUUCAAGCCAAACACGUUUGUAGCAAAGGCAGCUUUGCCUUUGUUGUGUCUGGAACUUGUGUGUAGGGAUUUGUUUUGGUCUGGGUUGGUUUGCUCUUUUCUGUUUAAGACUUAGGCUAUGUGUAUACCUCUUGGAAGCGUCACCCAGGGACCAGGCCCAGCAGGUGUGCUUUACAGAGUGGCGACCAGACAGAAGGCGCACGGCCUUUCGUCACUCAGCAGACUGAGGACGCAGCAUAUUCACCAGCAAAAACAAGUGGACUGGAGCUCCCGCUGUGGCACAACAGGAUCGGCGUCGGCUUGGGAGCGUUGGGACAUGGGUUCGAUCCCCAGCCUGGCACAGUGGGUUAAGGAUCCGGCAUUGCUUCAGCUGAAGCUUCAUUCACAGCUCAAUUCAGAUCUGAUCCCUGGCCCAGGAGCUCCUUAUGCUGCAGGGCGGUCAAAAAAAAAAGUGGAAU
This is a long non-coding RNA of Phacochoerus africanus (Common warthog), 1536 nucleotides long. RefSeq lists it as uncharacterized. The record is from RefSeq and is a predicted model, not a curated record. NCBI's taxonomy places the organism in Eukaryota, Metazoa, Chordata, Mammalia, Artiodactyla, Suidae. The transcript has 3 exons.